UACGAAGGGGGCUAGCGUUGCUCGGAAUCACUGGGCGUAAAGCGCACGUAGGCGGGUCGUUAAGUCAGGGGUGAAAUCCUGGAGCUCAACUCCAGAACUGCCUUUGAUACUGGCGAUCUCGAGUUCGGGAGAGGUGAGUGGAACUGCGAGUGUAGAGGUGAAAUUCGUAGAUAUUCGCAAGAACACCAGUGGCGAAGGCGGCUCACUGGCCCGAUACUGACGCUGAGGUGCGAAAGCGUGGGGAGCAAACAGG
Molecule: ribosomal RNA, 253 nt
Filed under: uncultured bacterium
Lineage: Bacteria
Description: partial 16S ribosomal RNA
Rfam family: Bacterial small subunit ribosomal RNA
Source: RNAcentral